CCGGCGCACGGGUGAGUAACGCGUAUGCGACCUGCCCGUUGCAGGGGGAUAAUCGGGAGAAAUCCCGUCUAAUACCGCGUAACGCCGCGGGGCUGCAUGGCCCUGCGGCCAAAGGGAGCGAUUCCGGCAACGGAUGGGCAUGCGUGACAUUAGCUAGUUGGCGGGGCAACGGCCCACCAGGCGACGAUGUCUAGGGGUUCUGAGAGGAAGGUCCCCCACACUGGUACUGAGACACGGACCAGACUCCUACGGAAGGCAGCAG
RNAcentral lists this ribosomal RNA (262 nucleotides) under uncultured bacterium. Its description in RNAcentral is "partial 16S ribosomal RNA". It matches the Rfam family "Bacterial small subunit ribosomal RNA", at positions 95 to 354 of the family's 1533-position model. The record is from RNAcentral.